This 148-nucleotide small RNA is filed under the name Papio anubis (olive baboon). RNAcentral's name for it is "Metazoan signal recognition particle RNA (ENSPANG00000040700.1)". Lineage: Eukaryota; Metazoa; Chordata; Mammalia; Primates; Cercopithecidae. The record is from Rfam by way of RNAcentral.
GCUGGGCAUGGUGGUGCAUGCCUGUAAUCCCAGCUACUCAGGAGGCUGAGGCAGGAGAAUUACUCGAACCCAGGAGGUGGCGGUUGCAGUGAGCCAAGAUGGUGCCACUGCACUCCAACCUGGGCAACAGAGCAAGAUUCUGUUUCAA